Molecule: long non-coding RNA, 288 nt
Filed under: Homo sapiens (human)
Lineage: Eukaryota; Metazoa; Chordata; Mammalia; Primates; Hominidae
Description: non-protein coding lnc-MRPL57-1:1
Source: RNAcentral
CGUGAUUGCUUCAGGGAUGGCUAUGUGAUCCAUUCAAAGUCCUUGGUAUAAUGAGAUCCUGGAUCUUCUUUAAACCUUCAGUUUGAGCAGCCUCCUCUGAAACUACCCCUACAAAGGAAGCAGGGUGCUUCUUCACCUACAAAGGAGCACAGGUGUUUCUUCUCCUUCCCCGUCACCCCUUUUCAAAUGUUACCACCCUUCAUAGCAUCAGAUAGAUUCCAUCGCAUGCACCUGCACACAUCCAGAGGCGCAUUCACAGAGCACUGCAUGGAGCUACGUGCACCGAUG